GUGGGGAAUUUUGCGCAAUGGGCGAAAGCCUGACGCAGCAACGCCGCGUGUGUGACGAAGGCCCUAGGGUUGUAAAGCACUGUGGGAAGGGAAGAAAAAACGGGGGUUGUACCCCGUCUUGACGGUACCUUGUUAGAAAGCACCGGCUAACUCCGUGCCAGCAGCCGCGGUAAUACGGAGGGUGCAAGCGUUGUUCGGAAUUAUUGGGCGUAAAGGGCGUGUAGGUGGCUAAGCAAGUCUGGUGUGAAAGCCCACGGCUCAACCGUGGAACUGCAUUGGAAACUGCAUAGCUCGAGUGUUGGAGGGGGUCGCGGAAUUCCCGGUGUAGAGGUGAAAUUCGUAGAUAUCGGGAGGAACACCAGUGGCGAAGGCGGCGACCUGGCCAAUCACUGACACUGAGACGCGAAAGCGUGGGGAGCAAACAGGAUUAGAAACCCUAGUAGUCC
This 446-nucleotide ribosomal RNA is filed under the name uncultured bacterium. RNAcentral's name for it is "bacterial SSU rRNA". It matches the Rfam family "Bacterial small subunit ribosomal RNA", at positions 354 to 796 of the family's 1533-position model. The record is from RNAcentral.